GACGAACGCUGGCGGCGUGCCUAAUACAUGCAAGUUGAGCGCUGAAGGUUGGUCCUUGUACCAACUGGAUGAGCAGCGAACGGGUGAGUAACGCGUGGGGAAUCUGCCUUUGAGCGGGGGACAACAUUUGGAAACGAAUGCUAAUACCGCAUAAAAACUUUAAACACAAGUUUUAAGUUUGAAAGAUGCAAUUGCAUCACUCAAAGAUGAUCCCGCGUUGUAUUAGCUAGUUGGUGAGGUAAAGGCUCACCAAGGCGAUGAUACAUAGCCGACCUGAGAGGGUGAUCGGCCACAUUGGGACUGGGACACGGCCCAAACUCCUACGGGAGGCAGCAGUAGGGAAUCUUCGGCAAUGGACGAAAGUCUGACCGAGCAACGCCGCGGGAGUGAAGAAGGUUUUCGGAUCGUAAAACUCUGUUGGUAGAGAAGAACGUUGGUGAGAGUGGAAAGCUCAUCAAGUGACGGUAACUACCCAGAAAGGGACGGCUAACUACGUG
This 497-nucleotide ribosomal RNA is filed under the name uncultured bacterium. RNAcentral describes it as "partial 16S ribosomal RNA". It matches the Rfam family "Bacterial small subunit ribosomal RNA", at positions 28 to 507 of the family's 1533-position model. The record is from RNAcentral.